AGCAGGUUUUUUCUAGGAGCUGAGCGGAAAAGGAAGGUGGAGCUGUCCUCUGGGAUCCUGCGUUCUGGAACCCUGGUUACUGCCUAACAGGAAAUGAGCGGAAAUGUACCCAAACUGCAGCGCUCCUGAGAACUUGCCAGGGGCAGCCUUGAAAGAGCACCAGAAGAAGCUGCCCCUCACACUUCGCCAGCCAGGAAACGCCGUUAGGGUUGGAGUUCGAGGGUAAAGACGCCUCAGCCGGCCUGCACAGCUCCCAACCUCCGGGGCAGAGAAGGUCUGUGGCUCGAAAACUUCAGCAUCACACUUUCCCUACAGCUUACAAAUUUUACAAAUUUCACCUUUGAAAUAAGAAACAAGACUACUUUCCUCCCGCCAACCCCCUGGCUCCCACUUGCCACAGAGCCAGAACGUGCAACACACUUGCUUCCGAAAUCCCAUGAAAGAAGUGGGCCACGGGGCCAAACUAAAAACUAAGUUUUGGGGUGCCUGGUGGGGGGCUCAGGGAGUUAAGCGUCUGACUCUUGAUUUCGGCUCAGGUCGUGAUCUCACGGUUCACGGGAUCGAGCCCAGCGCCAGGCUCUGGGCUGACAGCUCAGAGCCUGCUUGGGAUUCUCUUGCUCUCUGCCCCCCCCCCCCCCCCCCCCGCUUGUUCUCGCUCUAAUAAAUAAAUAAAAGCCGAGUUUCCCCAGAUUGGAUCAGUUUCAAAAUAUUGGCAACAACAGAAGAGGGGAAGGGCUGAGACAGGCCAGAGCACUGCUAACCGGCCCAUGUCCUUGGGUCAAAGGCCCUGGGACGCAUGCCAGAGGCAAAGGGCAGGCCUGAGUAGGCCUGGUCACAACCGGUGUUUCCUCGGAGGAAAAACUCGAGCAGAUGUGCAUACGGGCACCUGAGGGGUGAACCGCUGAACUCAGAACCAUCCGUACGAACUAGCGCUCAGAUGGGGGCUCCACAAAGGGAAAGCUGGGGGGAUGGGUUGAGGGGUAAACAGCACUGGCUCCUCGGUUCCCUCGCUAAGUUCUGGGGUCUCAGAAAUGUGACAGCCCCCAGUUUCUGAAACUGAGCAGGGAGCUGCUACGAAACUCCUCACCUCACAUGCUAUUAUUCAGAGGCAUGUGGACUAUAAUUAAGUGUCCCAUGGCUCUGCCUUCACACAGAGCCAGCUAAGUAGGGAGAAGAGCGCCCAGGCACGCUGACUGGUCUUUAAUCAACACAGGGUUCUGAGUCAGAGGUGAACUUGCCACCUCACGCUCGGCGGGCACGGGGAGCAGAAGCAGAACACGAUGCCCGCUUGAGAGGUCCUGGUUUGUUAACGACAAUACGCAGGAUGCUGCCUGGUUACAGAGAGCCUCCGUGACGGCGAACAGGGUCCUGUGAAGGUGGUCAGGUUCCCCCAGCUUCACGGACAGGCCUGGGAAGCGGUGGGGUUUAAGGAGGUCCCAGGUUCCUUUGGGGGAGGGCAGUCUCACACCUGUUCUGUAGCUCCCCAGUCCAGGCCUAAAACACCAGGCUGGUUACUCUACCCAUCCAGCAAGCUGGCGGCCCAAAGCCGAGUGGAAAGAGCAGGCUGGUCUGUCCACCAGUGGAGCGGGACGGGAACAUCUCGGUCCAGGGUCCCACAGGGAUGCCGCUAGUUCAAAGGUCUUCUUACAAGGGGAGUCAGCAGAGUUGCUUCCGGCAAAGUUGGACUUAAUCCAGAUCCCAUCUCACGUGGACACAGUAACAACCAAAGCCAUCCCCGUGUGUGCUGCCCCAAGGCAGAGGGUCUUCCGGCAGUUAGCCUGCAGCUGCUGAGCUCAAGGGCCUGGGGCAGGGACCCCACUUUGCCUGUUGUGCUCAGCACACAGGUUCCGUGCUUUAAGUCCCGCUGAUGAGGGAGCUCCACGGUCCAGAUUUUUUGCAUCUAAGAUCACUGCAUGUUUAUUACUUAAGAGGCUAAACCCUUUGCUAGGAAAUCAAGUGGGAUUCCACACAAUAAGGUUUAAAAAAUAGGUCAGAGCAGGCAGGAUCUGGGGACGUUCCAAACACCAGCCACAUCUCCCUGAUACUAAUUACUCUAAAGGUUGGGGUCCUGGGUGCCCCGGCCCUUUCCCCACCUCAUGCCUCUCAAAGGAAGUCUGAUCUUUCCUCCUAGGCACAAACCCAGGGCCUAGCAAGCAUCCAAUGAACUUCAAAGCUCUGGGAUAUGGCAGUCAUGAAUUUUCCUCUUAGCUCUCGCACAACCAAUCUUUCAG
This is a long non-coding RNA of Leopardus geoffroyi (Geoffroy's cat), 2231 nucleotides long. RefSeq lists it as uncharacterized. The transcript has 2 exons. The record is from RefSeq and is a predicted model, not a curated record. NCBI's taxonomy places the organism in Eukaryota, Metazoa, Chordata, Mammalia, Carnivora, Felidae.